UACGUAGGGUGCGAGCGUUAAUCGGAAUUACUGGGCGUAAAGCGUGCGCAGGCGGUUUUGUAAGCCAGAUGUGAAAUCCCCGGGCUUAACCUGGGAAUGGCAUUUGGGACUGCAAGGCUUGAGUGCGGCAGAGGAGACUGGAAUUCCUGGUGUAGCAGUGAAAUGCGUAGAUAUCAGGAGGAACACCGAUGGCGAAGGCAGGUCUCUGGGCUGACACUGACGCUCAUGCACGAAAGGCGUGGGGAGCAAACGAGG
This 255-nucleotide ribosomal RNA is filed under the name uncultured bacterium. Its description in RNAcentral is "partial 16S ribosomal RNA". It matches the Rfam family "Bacterial small subunit ribosomal RNA", at positions 524 to 777 of the family's 1533-position model. The record is from RNAcentral.